RNAcentral lists this unclassified non-coding RNA (511 nucleotides) under Hevea brasiliensis (rubber tree). Lineage: Eukaryota; Viridiplantae; Streptophyta; Magnoliopsida; Malpighiales; Euphorbiaceae. The record is from RNAcentral.
CUAUUUAAUUUAAGUAUGAAGCACAAAAUGCUAGAUAACUUCUGCCAAUAUCAUUCAAUUGCAUGAUACAAUCCAAAAGAAACGGGAAACAUAGAAAAAUGUCCCCGCCAAUCAGGAGACUCAGCUAAUUAGAGUUGGAACUUGCAAACUUGAAAGAGUCCAUCAAAGAAAAUAACUUUAUUGAUGUAGUGCAAUGAAACUGAGAAUUGAGAAAUGGAAGGGAAAAAGGUUACAUUCUCCACUAAUUUUUCAACGAACAGAAACAAAAGAGAGUGGAAAUUGAAAAGAUGACAAUAUAAUUAGCAAUACUUGGGGGGUAUAAUCCAGCUAAGUUGAGUCAAUACCUAGUGAACUUGAUUUGAUUAGAAAUCUGAAGGCUUGAAACUCAGCUCAAACUCAAUCAAGUUUUAUUCUUCAAACUCAAACUAGAGUACUUUGAACUCAACUUGAUACUCGAAAUACUUGGGUUCGACUCAUGACCAAAAUUUACCUUUAUCAAUUUAAAAGCUGG